RNAcentral lists this ribosomal RNA (474 nucleotides) under uncultured Alphaproteobacteria bacterium. RNAcentral describes it as "bacterial SSU rRNA". It matches the Rfam family "Bacterial small subunit ribosomal RNA", at positions 9 to 524 of the family's 1533-position model. Lineage: Bacteria; Pseudomonadati; Pseudomonadota; Alphaproteobacteria. The record is from RNAcentral.
GAGUUUGAUCCUGGCUCAGAGCGAACGCUGGCGGCAGGCCUAACACAUGCAAGUCGAGCGGACGUAGCAAUACGUCAGCGGCAGACGGGAGAGUAACACGUGGGAACGCGCCCUUCGGUUCGGGAUAACUCAGGGAAACUUGGGCUAAUACCGGAUACGCCCUUACGGGGAAAGAUUUAUUGCCGAAGGAACGGCCCGCGUCCGAUUAGCUUGUUGGUGAGGUAACGGCUCACCAAGGCGACGAUCGGUAGCUGGUCUGAGAGGAUGACCAGCCUCACUGGGACUGAGACACGGCCCAGACUCCUACGGGAGGCAGCAGUGGGGAAUAUUGGACAAUGGGCGCAAGCCUGAUCCAGCCAUGCCGCGUGGGUGAUGAAGGCCCUAGGGUUGUAAAGCUCUUUCAACGGUGAAGAUAAUGACGGUAACCGUAGAAGAAGCCCCGGCUAACUUCGUGCCAGCAGCCGCCGCGGUAAC